Molecule: long non-coding RNA, 533 nt
Organism: Xiphophorus hellerii (green swordtail)
Lineage: Eukaryota; Metazoa; Chordata; Actinopteri; Cyprinodontiformes; Poeciliidae
Exons: 3
Source: RefSeq, a predicted model, not a curated record
UUUGCCUUUUUUGUUUUUUCCGUUCCUAUGGCUUGCCAUCACCACCAGAUGGCACCGUGGAGGCUAGGAUAGGAGGACUGAAGGGCUGACGUCACCGUCACACCGGUUCCCAAUCCACUCGUCAGCGGGACUUCAAGAGACGGCGACUGCCAGCAUACCAACGCUUGAGUAUUAGCCAGUAAUGCUGUUCCUGCAACUUCAAGUCUGGCUGUAGUCCCGAGUUUCCCUUGCGACGCCGUGGGCACGUUACCCGUUGGUGCCCAAGGCCACCACUCACCUUUUCCUCCGUGAAACAAGAAGAAGUGUCUGGGAAUCCAAGCAGGCAGUCCGCUCGCUCUCCUUGACGACGUCAGGAUCCUAUUACCUGUCCGCCCUCCACCGCAGCACAACCUCCACCUCCAGCGCCCCCACACCUGGCCACGCCGUUGUUUUUUCUCCUCUCCGAAAGUCCUGGCUUACCUGUCUGUCGCCGUCCCUUCGAUGAUUGAGAGCCUACCCUGGAAAUCUUUUGUUAAUAAAUCACUUUAACUGAU